GCGCCUGUGGCGAAAUUGGUAGACGCGCCAGACUUAGGAUCUGGUGUUGAAAAACGUGCAGGUUCGAUUCCUGUCAGGCGCACCA
Molecule: transfer RNA, 85 nt
Filed under: Akkermansia muciniphila
Lineage: Bacteria; Pseudomonadati; Verrucomicrobiota; Verrucomicrobiia; Verrucomicrobiales; Akkermansiaceae
Also listed under: 3 other names
Description: tRNA-Leu
Rfam family: tRNA
About the family: Transfer RNA (tRNA) molecules are approximately 80 nucleotides in length. Their secondary structure includes four short double-helical elements and three loops (D, anti-codon, and T loops). Further hydrogen bonds mediate the characteristic L-shaped molecular structure. tRNAs have two regions of fundamental functional importance: the anti-codon, which is responsible for specific mRNA codon recognition, and the 3' end, to which the tRNAs corresponding amino acid is attached (by aminoacyl-tRNA synthetases). tRNAs cope with the degeneracy of the genetic code in two manners: having more than one tRNA (with a specific anti-codon) for a particular amino acid; and 'wobble' base-pairing, i.e. permitting non-standard base-pairing at the 3rd anti-codon position.
Source: RNAcentral